RNAcentral lists this ribosomal RNA (329 nucleotides) under bacterium BASU645. Its description in RNAcentral is "bacterial SSU rRNA". It matches the Rfam family "Bacterial small subunit ribosomal RNA", at positions 406 to 732 of the family's 1533-position model. The record is from RNAcentral.
CCGGGUAGUCUCGGAUCGUAAGCUCUGUUGCCAGGGAAGAACGUCUUGUAGAGUAACUGCUACAAGAGUGACGGUACCUGAGAAGAAAGCCCCGGCUAACUACGUGCCAGCAGCCGCGGUAAUACGUAGGGGGCAAGCGUUGUCCGGAAUUAUUGGGCGUAAAGCGCGCGCAGGCGGCUCUUUAAGUCUGGUGUUUAAUCCCGAGGCUCAACUUCGGGUCGCACUGGAAACUGGGGAGCUUGAGUGCAGAAGAGGAGAGUGGAAUUCCACGUGUAGCGGUGAAAUGCGUAGAGAUGUGGAGGAACACCAGUGGCGAAGGCGACCACCAA